AGUACGUCUCCUCUAAUGCAAAGCAAUGUUUUCAACUAAAUUGCUUUGCCUCGCUUGUAGACAAGAUCAAUGUUUCUAUUAUCCUAGCAUCUAAAUUAGCUUUCAUGCGUAUUUUGAUGCUCGAGAAACGUAGAAAUACAAUA
Molecule: small nucleolar RNA, 143 nt
Organism: Anastrepha obliqua
Lineage: Eukaryota; Metazoa; Arthropoda; Insecta; Diptera; Tephritidae
Product: small nucleolar RNA psi28S-1192
Exons: 1
Source: RefSeq, a predicted model, not a curated record